CGGCAACAGCUCAAAUUUGAAAUCUGGCUUCGGCCCGAGUUGUAAUUUGCAGAGGAAGCUUUAGGCGCGGCACCUUCUGAGUCCCCUGGAACGGGGCGCCAUAGAGGGUGAGAGCCCCGUAUAGUUGGAUGCCUAGCCUGUGUAAAGCUCCUUCGACGAGUCGAGUAGUUUGGGAAUGCUGCUCAAAAUGGGAGGUAAAUUUCUUCUAAAGCUAAAUACCGGCCAGAGACCGAUAGCGCACAAGUAGAGUGAUCGAAAGAUGAAAAGCACUUUGAAAAGAGGGUUAAAUAGCACGUGAAAUUGUUGAAAGGGAAGCGCUUGUGACCAGACUUGCGCCGGGCGGAUCAUCCGGUGUUCUCACCGGUGCACUCCGCCCGGCUCAGGCCAGCAUCGGUUCUCGCGGGGGGAUAAAGGUCCUGGGAACGUAGCUCCUCCGGGAGUGUUAUAGCCCGGGGCGUAAUGCCCUCGCGGGGACCGAGGUUCGCGCAUCUGCAAGGAUGCUGGCGUAAUGGUCAUCAGCGACCCGUCUUGAAACACGG
RNAcentral lists this ribosomal RNA (539 nucleotides) under Chaetomium globosum. RNAcentral describes it as "partial large subunit ribosomal RNA". It matches the Rfam family "Eukaryotic large subunit ribosomal RNA", at positions 99 to 664 of the family's 3401-position model. Lineage: Eukaryota; Fungi; Ascomycota; Sordariomycetes; Sordariales; Chaetomiaceae. The record is from RNAcentral.